Molecule: ribosomal RNA, 396 nt
Filed under: uncultured bacterium
Lineage: Bacteria
Description: bacterial SSU rRNA
Rfam family: Bacterial small subunit ribosomal RNA
Source: RNAcentral
CAAGGCUUGACAUUAUUUUGAAUUAACUGGAAACAGUUAAGUCUUCGGACAAAAUAACAGGUGGUGCAUGGUUGUCGUCAGCUCGUGUCGUGAGAUGUUGGGUUAAGUCCCGCAACGAGCGCAACCCUUGUCAUUAGUUGCCAGCAUUACGGAUGGGUACUCUAGUGAGACUGCCGGUGAGAAAUCGGAGGAAGGUGGGGACGACGUCAAAUCAUCAUGCCCCUUAUGUCUUGGGCCUCACACGUACUACAAUGGCUAUUACAGAAGGCAGCGAAGGAGUAAUCCGGAGCGAAUCCCCAAAGAUAGUCCCAGUUCGGAUUGUGGGCUGCAACCCGCCCACAUGAAGUCGGAAUUGCUAGUAAUUGCAGGUCAGCAUACUGCAGUGAAUACGUUCCC